Molecule: ribosomal RNA, 439 nt
Filed under: uncultured bacterium
Lineage: Bacteria
Description: partial 16S ribosomal RNA
Rfam family: Bacterial small subunit ribosomal RNA
Source: RNAcentral
CCUACGGGAGGCAGCAGUGGGGAAUAUUGCACAAUGGACGAAAGCCUGAUGCAGCAACGCCGCGUGAACGAUGAAGGCCUUCGGGUUUGAAAGCUCUUUCCACAAGGAAGUAAAUUACUGUACUUGUGGCAGAAGCCCCGGCAAACUCCGUGCCAGCACCCGCAGUAAUCCGUAGGCGGCUGGCGUAAUCCGGAAUUACUGGGCGUAAAGGGUACGUAGGGGGUUUCUUAAGUGAGAGGGAAAAGGCUAAGGCUAAACCGUAGUAAGCAUUUGAAACUGGGGAACUUGAGUGCAGGAGAGGAGAGUGGAAUUCCUGGUGUAGCGGUGAAAUGCGUAGAUAUCAGGAGGAACACCAGUUGCGAAGGCGGCUCUCUGGACUGUAACUGACACUGAGGCACGAAAGCGUGGGGAGCAAACAGGAUUAGAUACCCCGGUAGUC